GGAAUGCUUUACACAUGCAAGUCGAGCGGCAGCGCGGGGCAACCUGGCGGCGAGCGGCGAACGGGUGAGUAAUGCAUCGGAACAUGUCCAUUCGUGGGGGAUAGCCCGGCGAAAGCCGGAUUAAUACCGCAUACGCCCGAGAGGGGAAAGCAGGGGACCGCAAGGCCUUGCGCGAUUGGGUUGGCCGAUGUCCGAUUAGCUUGUUGGUGAGGUAAAGGCUUACCAAGGCGAUGAUCGGUAGCUGGUCUGAGAGGAUGAUCAGCCACACUGGGACUGAGACACGGCCCAGACUCCUACGGGAGGCAGCAGUGGGGAAUUUUGGACAAUGGGGGCAACCCUGAUCCAGCCAUUCCGCGUGAGUGAAGAAGGCCUUCGGGUUGUAAAGCUCUUUUGUCCGGAGCGAAACGGGCGGUCCUAAUACGAUCGUCUACUGACGGUACCGGAAGAAUAAGCACCGGCUAACUACGUGCCAGCAGCCGCGGUAAUACGUAGGGUGCGAGCGUUAAUCGGAAUUACUGGGCGUAAAGCGUGCGCAGGCGGUUUUGUAAGCCAGAUGUGAAAUCCCCGGGCUUAACCUGGGAAUGGCAUUUGGGACUGCAAGGCUGGAGUAUGGCAGAGGGGGCUAGAAUUCCUGGUGUAGCAGUGAAAUGCGUAGAUAUCAGGAGGAAUACCGAUGGCGAAGGCAGGCCCCUGGGUUAAUACUGACGCUCAUGCACGAAAGCGUGGGGAGCAAACAGGAUUAGAUACCCUGGUAGUCCACGCCCUAAACGAUGUCGACUGGUUGUUGGGGGUUUGACACUCUCAGUAACGAAGCUAACGCGUGAAGUCGACCGCCUGGGGAGUACGGC
Molecule: ribosomal RNA, 848 nt
Filed under: uncultured bacterium
Lineage: Bacteria
Description: bacterial SSU rRNA
Rfam family: Bacterial small subunit ribosomal RNA
Source: RNAcentral